AUGGCGCACGAAGCAUCCAAGCGCCGUGCGAAGCUGCACAUGGAGAAACCCCUCCCCGCCGGCGAGGGGUCCAGCCGGCAGCAGGGCGGCCGUGACGUCGUCGACCACGUCCAGGCUCCGGUGCAGGUGUCACCUACGCCGGAGCAGGUGGCUCCUCCGCCGGAGCAGGUGACUCCUCUGCCACGCCAUCUGCCUCCUCUGCCACGCCAUCUGCCUCCUCUGCCGCAGCCCGUGGUCAACGUCGACGGCGACGACGACGAAGAAGAGGUAGCUGCUCUGGCUCCUCAGACGGAGCAGGUGACGCCUCCUGUGCCCGAGCCUGUGGUCGUCGGCGAUGUCAACAAAGAAGACGUAGCUGCUCUGGCUCCUCAGACGGAGCAGGUGUCUCCUCUGCCGCAGGUGAUGCCUCCGGUGCCCGAGCCUGUGGUCGCCGGCGACGUCAACAAAGGCGACUAG
This 456-nucleotide ribosomal RNA is filed under the name Triticum aestivum (bread wheat). Its description in RNAcentral is "partial small subunit ribosomal RNA". Lineage: Eukaryota; Viridiplantae; Streptophyta; Magnoliopsida; Poales; Poaceae. The record is from RNAcentral.